UACGUAGGGUGCAAGCGUUAAUCGGAAUUACUGGGCGUAAAGCGUGCGCAGGCGGUUUUGUAAGUCUGUCGUGAAAUCCCCGGGCUCAACCUGGGAAUUGCGAUGGAGACUGCAAGGCUAGAAUCUGGCAGAGGGAGGUAGAAUUCCACGUGUAGCAGUGAAAUGCGUAGAGAUGUGGAGGAACACCGAUGGCGAAGGCAGCCCCCCUGGGUCAAGAUUGACGCUCAUGCACGAAAGCGUGGGGAGCAAACAGG
This 254-nucleotide ribosomal RNA is filed under the name uncultured bacterium. RNAcentral describes it as "partial 16S ribosomal RNA". It matches the Rfam family "Bacterial small subunit ribosomal RNA", at positions 524 to 776 of the family's 1533-position model. The record is from RNAcentral.